UAUGGUCAAAUCAGGCUGAAAACACCAGUUUUCCUUCGAUCAGCGAAGUUAAGCAGUAUUGAACCCGGUCAGUAUUUAGAUGGGGGACCGCUUGAAAACACCGGGU
Molecule: non-coding RNA, 106 nt
Organism: Acanthosepion pharaonis
Lineage: Eukaryota; Metazoa; Mollusca; Cephalopoda; Sepiida; Sepiidae
Source: the annotation of a GenBank genome assembly